This 333-nucleotide unclassified non-coding RNA is filed under the name uncultured fungus. RNAcentral describes it as "partial contains small subunit ribosomal RNA, internal transcribed spacer 1, and 5.8S ribosomal RNA". The stretch from base 1 to 73 matches the Rfam family "Eukaryotic small subunit ribosomal RNA", at positions 1759 to 1831 of the family's 1831-position model. Lineage: Eukaryota; Fungi. The record is from RNAcentral.
GCAAACUUGGUCAUUUAGAGGAAGUAAAAGUCGUAACAAGGUUUCCGUAGGUGAACCUGCGGAAGGAUCAUUAUCGAGUUUACCAACACCGGAGGCGCGACUGCUGCUGGCGUUCCCCUUCGGAGGGGGAAGGCAUGUGCGCGUUCGUCUUUGGGCUUUUUCCACUCACACCUGUGCACUUUUGAAAAGGGGGAGAGGGCAUCGUAGCCUUUUUCUCUCCUUUUUUUUAAACACGAACCCUUGACGAAGUUAUUGAAUGUAAUUUGUUUUUAAAACGUGAAUACAACUUUCAACAACGGAUCUCUUGGCUCUCGCAUCGAUGAAGAACGCAGC